Molecule: ribosomal RNA, 269 nt
Filed under: uncultured prokaryote
Description: partial 16S ribosomal RNA
Rfam family: Bacterial small subunit ribosomal RNA
Source: RNAcentral
UACGUAGGAGGCGAGCGUUAUCCGGAUUUAUUGGGCGUAAAGAGGGCGUAGGUUGCUUUUUAAGUCGGAUAUGAAAUCUCCCGGCUCAACUGGGAGGGGUUAUCCGAUACUAUUGGGCUAGAGGGCAGUCGAGGGAGGCGGAAUUCCCGGUGUAGUGGUGAAAUGCGUAGAUAUCGGGAGGAACACCAGUGGCGAAGGCGGCCUCCUAGGCUGUUGCUGACGCUGAGGCCCGAAAGCGUGGGGAGCGAACAGGAUUAGAUACCCCCGUA